RNAcentral lists this ribosomal RNA (253 nucleotides) under uncultured bacterium. Its description in RNAcentral is "partial 16S ribosomal RNA". It matches the Rfam family "Bacterial small subunit ribosomal RNA", at positions 524 to 776 of the family's 1533-position model. The record is from RNAcentral.
UACGUAGGGGGCAAGCGUUGUCCGGAUUUAUUGGGCGUAAAGAGCGUGUAGGCGGCCAUGCAGGUCCGUUGUGAAAACUGGAGGCUUAACCUCCAGACGUCGAUGGAAACCGUAUGGCUAGAGUCCGGAAGAGGAGAGUGGAAUUCCUGGUGUAGCGGUGAAAUGCGCAGAUAUCAGGAAGAACACCCGUGGCGAAGGCGGCUCUCUGGGACGGUACUGACGCUGAGACGCGAAAGCGUGGGGGGCGAACAGG